This 307-nucleotide ribosomal RNA is filed under the name Avena barbata (slender wild oat). Lineage: Eukaryota; Viridiplantae; Streptophyta; Magnoliopsida; Poales; Poaceae. The record is from RNAcentral.
UCUUUUUUUAUUGCGUCACGCGACGACGGGGUAUGUGCGAAGAAAUAUUUUAAUUAUAUUGUUUUGGACGGUCGGUGGUGGUUUUAUGGCGUGUUAAGUCGGGGUUUCACGUUGGGUGAGCUCCGAGGGGUUGAAUCGCGGAGAAUGGAGCUGGAGGGGAAGGCAUAAGGAGAAACGGAGUGCAGAACAUGUCGGAUCAUACCAGCACUAAAGCACCGGAUCCCAUCAGAACUCCGAAGUUAAGCGUGCUUGGGCGAGAGUAGUACUAGGAUGGGUGACCUCUUGGGAAGUCCUCGUGUUGCAUCCC